ACUACUAUCACGCCCGUGCGUUAGCGUGUAACGCACAACGCAGAUCACAAAAUUGUCACCGUAACGUACGGUGCGUACUAGAGAUACAAAAUAUUGAAUAUACGUGCAAUAUAAUUAAAAUACUUAAAAAUAGGUAACCAGUUUCGGUGCUCAUCAAACGAUUAGACACGACUAUUUUUACAACUAUUCAGAUCAACAUUUUAAUUAGAGUUUAUUUGGUCGAGUUAUAUUGUUAAAGUUUUACAUAUCAAGUUUAGAAAUGUUGACGUAUGUCAUCGCAAACACAGAUCAACAGAUGUCAAGUGAUGUCAACGUCAACGUAUUUAAUGUGCUUCUCGGUCAGUUGUCAAUGGAUCCAAUAGUAUUUGAUGUGACCCAUUAUCAAAUAAUGAAACGUGUUGGUCAGAUCUUAAGGAAGCUGGUGCAUCAUAAUGAGGAAUAUAUGGUUUGAUAUCAAGCACUGGAGUACCAUCUAUCAUGUCCAC
Rhopalosiphum maidis (corn leaf aphid) is the source of this 485-nucleotide long non-coding RNA. RefSeq lists it as uncharacterized. The record is from RefSeq and is a predicted model, not a curated record. The transcript has 3 exons. Lineage: Eukaryota; Metazoa; Arthropoda; Insecta; Hemiptera; Aphididae.